RNAcentral lists this ribosomal RNA (253 nucleotides) under uncultured bacterium. Its description in RNAcentral is "partial 16S ribosomal RNA". It matches the Rfam family "Bacterial small subunit ribosomal RNA", at positions 524 to 776 of the family's 1533-position model. The record is from RNAcentral.
UACGUAGGGUCCGAGCGUUAAUCGGAAUUACUGGGCGUAAAGCGUGCGCAGGCGGUUUUGUAAGGCAGAUGUGAAAUCCCCGGGCUUAACCUGGGAACUGCAUUUGGGACUGCAAGGCUCGAGUACGGCAGAGGGAUGCGGAAUUCCAGGUGUAGCGGUGAAAUGCGUAGAUAUCUGGAGGAACACCGGUGGCGAAGGCGGCAUCCUGGACCAAUAUUGACGCUGAGGAGCGAAAGCUAGGGGAGCAAACGGG